Molecule: long non-coding RNA, 903 nt
Organism: Triticum aestivum (bread wheat)
Lineage: Eukaryota; Viridiplantae; Streptophyta; Magnoliopsida; Poales; Poaceae
Exons: 3
Source: RefSeq, a predicted model, not a curated record
AAUACAGAGGAGAGGAGCGACCGCGUCCAUCAGUACGCCGCCGACCGAUGGGACGAAGCUCCUGGCCAUGCCGCCCUUUCCCAGAUGCCCCGAUCCAGCGCCGCCUUCUUGUCGAGCGUCGGUGCGAUCUCGACGUGGUCCAGUGAUGCCACCCCUCUGCCACCAGCAAGAUCUCCGCCUCCAUCUACCUCUGCCUCUGCCAGCAGUACAUGCUCCGUCUUCCCUCUGCCGCCCCCCUCACUCACACUUCGCCUUCCGCCAUAGCCCUUCCCAUCAUGGCCCCGACCCCCUAUGCCUCCAUGUCGCCAGCCACAUCUAGCCGUUCGGAACUCUUCCUGUCUGAACCUGGUCGUCCUUGCCCACCCACUGCUCCAAUCUAAGUGCCCCACCUGUUGGUUGGCUUUUGCCUCUUGGAUGAUCAUAUUCGGGCAGGAAAGAGGCGAUAGAGAACCUCCUCCUCAUGCCCGUAUGAUCACCCAAGCACACGUGGUGGCCAUCUCCUUGUUCUUUGUCUUCACCAGAUACAGCCAGAUUUUGUUGCUCUUUUGAAGAGUCGAUCAAGCCACUUCUCGCUGCAUACUCCAAUGUAAUUUUGUCCUGGACUGGAAUUGAAGCAAACAUAUCAACUUCCGCAAAGAAGAUGCACUUAUGAUAAAAGAGCUUUGAUUAGCAUAUUUCAAAAGCAAAAAAAGGAAUGGUGACCUUCUGCAUACGUCCAUCUUUUUAAGUUAUUUAGUUUUCCAUUAAUAAAUAUAUCACCUCCGUGCAAGCGCUACUGCAUGAUCAGAUGAUCAAGAACUUCUUCACCAGUUAACGUGUCCCGGUACUAUGUAUUGCAAAAACUAUUCAUCUUUUGUGCACUGAAUAUGGUUAUCGUACCUCUAAAUAAUGUUUGUUUCUAUA